CUUUAUUUUAAGAAUGUGAAAUGACAGAAUAAUAGUAGAGAGAAUGAUUUAUUUCAGAUUUUAUUUCUUUCAUCACGUUCCCAGUAGGUACACUCAAUUAGUAUUUGGUAGCAUUGCCUUUAAAUUGUUUAACUUGGGUCAAACCCAUCAGACCCAUUUGCGACCAAGCUUUAACUUCCUGACUGAGGUCUUGAGAUGUUGCUUCAAUAUAUCCACAUAAUUUUCCUUCCUCAUGAUGUUAUCUAUUUUGUGAAGUGCACCAGUCCCUCCUGCAGCAAAGCACUCCACAACAUGAUGCUGCCACCCCCGUGCUUCAUGGUUGGGAUGGUGUUCUUUGGCUUGCAGGCCUCCCCCUUUUUCCUCCAAACAUAACGAUGUUCAUUAUGGCCAAACAGUUACAUUUUUGUUUCAUCAGACCAGAGGAUAUUUGUCCAAAAAGUAUGAUCUUUGUCCCCAUGUGCAGCUGCAAACCGUAAUCUGGCUUUUUUUAUGGCGGUUUUGGAGCAGUGGCUUCUACCUUGCUGAGUGGCCUUUCAGGUUAUGUGGAUAUAUGACUCGUUUUACUGUGGAUAUAGAUACUUUUGUACCUGUUUCCUCCAGCAUCUUCACAAGGUCCUUUGCUGUUGUUCUGGGAUUGAUUUGCACUUUUCCCACCAAAGUACGUUCAUCUCUAGGAGACAAAACACAUCUCCUUCCUGAGCGGAAUGACGACUGCGUGGUCCCAUGGUGUUUAUACUUGCAUACUAUUGUUUGUACAGAUGAACAUGGCACCUUCAGGCAUUUGGAAAUUGGUUUGGAGGUCUUGGCUGAUUUCUUUAGAUUUUCCCAUGAUGUCAAGCAAAGAGACACUAAGUUUGAAGGUAGUCCUUGAAAUACAUCCACAGGUACACCUCCAAUUGACUCAAAUUUAUGUCAAUUAGCAUUUCAGAAGCUUCUAAAUCCAUGACAUCAUUUUCUGUAAUUUUCCAAAGUUUAAAGGCACAGCCAACUUAGUGAAUGUAAACGACCCACUGGAAUUGUGAUAGAGUGAAUUAUAUGUCACGACUUCCACUGAAGUCGGUCCCUCUCCUUGUUCGGGCGGCGUUCGGCGGUCGACGUCACCGGCCUAUUAGCCAUCACCGAUCCACUUUUCAUUUUCCAUUUGUUUUGUCUUUGUUUUACACACCUGGUUUCACUUCCCCAAUUACUUGUUCAUUAUUUAACCCUCUGUUCCCCCAUAUUUUUUUUGUGAGUGAUUGAUUGUAUGUUAUACGGUCCAUUAUGUGGGCUUGCUUUAUUGUUUUGUAUUUGCCUAUUUUGAGUAAAUUACGUUUAUUUACUCAUAUCUGAUGUCCUGCGCCUGACUCCUCUACACAAGCUACACACAGAC
RNAcentral lists this long non-coding RNA (1369 nucleotides) under Salmo salar (Atlantic salmon). Its description in RNAcentral is "lncRNA (ENSSSAG00000112009.1)". Lineage: Eukaryota; Metazoa; Chordata; Actinopteri; Salmoniformes; Salmonidae. The record is from RNAcentral.